Molecule: non-coding RNA, 134 nt
Organism: Hordeum vulgare subsp. vulgare (domesticated barley)
Lineage: Eukaryota; Viridiplantae; Streptophyta; Magnoliopsida; Poales; Poaceae
Source: Rfam
AAUAUACUCCCUUUGUCCCAAAAUUCUUGUCUUAGGGUUGUCUUUAAAUGAAUGUAUCAAGAUACUAAAACGUGACUAGAUACAUUCAUAUCUAGACAAAUCAAAAACAUUUUUUGGGAUGGAGGGAAUACUUG